Molecule: transfer RNA, 88 nt
Filed under: Bacteriovorax sp. BSW11_IV
Lineage: Bacteria; Pseudomonadati; Bdellovibrionota; Bacteriovoracia; Bacteriovoracales; Bacteriovoracaceae
Description: tRNA-Ser
Rfam family: tRNA
About the family: Transfer RNA (tRNA) molecules are approximately 80 nucleotides in length. Their secondary structure includes four short double-helical elements and three loops (D, anti-codon, and T loops).
Source: RNAcentral
GGAGAAUUGGCCGAGUGGUCGAAGGCGCACGCUUGGAAAGCGUGUAUACGGCAACGUAUCGAGGGUUCGAAUCCCUUGUUCUCCGCCA